This 1449-nucleotide ribosomal RNA is filed under the name Escherichia coli. Its description in RNAcentral is "partial 23S ribosomal RNA". It matches the Rfam family "Bacterial large subunit ribosomal RNA", at positions 1 to 1487 of the family's 2925-position model. Lineage: Bacteria; Pseudomonadati; Pseudomonadota; Gammaproteobacteria; Enterobacterales; Enterobacteriaceae. The record is from RNAcentral.
GGGUUGUGAGGUUAAGCGACUAAGCGUACACGGUGGAUGCCCUGGCAGUCAGAGGCGAUGAAGGACGUGCUAAUCUGCGAUAAGCGUCGGUGAGGUGAUAUGAACCGUUAUAACCGGCGAUUUCCGAAUGGGGAAACCCAGUGUGUUUCGACACACUAUCAUUAACUGAAUCCAUAGGUUAAUGAGGCGAACCGGGGGAACUGAAACAUCUAAGUACCCCGAGGAAAAGAAAUCAACCGAGAUUCCCCCAGUAGCGGCGAGCGAACGGGGAGGAGCCCAGAGCCUGAAUCAGUGUGUGUGUUAGUGGAAGCGUCUGGAAAGGCGCGCGAUACAGGGUGACAGCCCCGUACACAAAAAUGCACAUGCUGUGAGCUCGAUGAGUAGGGCGGGACACGUGGUAUCCUGUCUGAAUAUGGGGGGACCAUCCUCCAAGGCUAAAUACUCCUGACUGACCGAUAGUGAACCAGUACCGUGAGGGAAAGGCGAAAAGAACCCCGGCGAGGGGAGUGAAAAAGAACCUGAAACCGUGUACGUACAAGCAGUGGGAGCCUCUUAAUGGGGUGACUGCGUACCUUUUGUAUAAUGGGUCAGCGACUUAUAUUCUGUAGCAAGGUUAACCGAAUAGGGGAGCCGAAGGGAAACCGAGUCUUAACUGGGCGUUAAGUUGCAGGGUAUAGACCCGAAACCCGGUGAUCUAGCCAUGGGCAGGUUGAAGGUUGGGUAACACUAACUGGAGGACCGAACCGACUAAUGUUGAAAAAUUAGCGGAUGACUUGUGGCUGGGGGUGAAAGGCCAAUCAAACCGGGAGAUAGCUGGUUCUCCCCGAAAGCUAUUUAGGUAGCGCCUCGUGAAUUCAUCUCCGGGGGUAGAGCACUGUUUCGGCAAGGGGGUCAUCCCGACUUACCAACCCGAUGCAAACUGCGAAUACCGGAGAAUGUUAUCACGGGAGACACACGGCGGGUGCUAACGUCCGUCGUGAAGAGGGAAACAACCCAGACCGCCAGCUAAGGUCCCAAAGUCAUGGUUAAGUGGGAAACGAUGUGGGAAGGCCCAGACAGCCAGGAUGUUGGCUUAGAAGCAGCCAUCAUUUAAAGAAAGCGUAAUAGCUCACUGGUCGAGUCGGCCUGCGCGGAAGAUGUAACGGGGCUAAACCAUGCACCGAAGCUGCGGCAGCGACACUAUGUGUUGUUGGGUAGGGGAGCGUUCUGUAAGCCUGUGAAGGUGGCCUGUGAGGGUUGCUGGAGGUAUCAGAAGUGCGAAUGCUGACAUAAGUAACGAUAAAGCGGGUGAAAAGCCCGCUCGCCGGAAGACCAAGGGUUCCUGUCCAACGUUAAUCGGGGCAGGGUGAGUCGACCCCUAAGGCGAGGCCGAAAGGCGUAGUCGAUGGGAAACAGGUUAAUAUUCCUGUACUUGGUGUUACUGCGAAGGGGGGACGGAGAAGGCUAUGU